RNAcentral lists this ribosomal RNA (468 nucleotides) under uncultured bacterium. RNAcentral describes it as "partial 16S ribosomal RNA". It matches the Rfam family "Bacterial small subunit ribosomal RNA", at positions 28 to 507 of the family's 1533-position model. The record is from RNAcentral.
GACGAACGCUGGCGGCGUGCUUAACACAUGCAAGUCGAACGGAAAGGCCCUGCUUUUGUGGGGUGCUCGAGUGGCGAACGGGUGAGUAACACGUGAGUAACCUGCCCUUGACUUUGGGAUAACUUCAGGAAACUGGGGCUAAUACCGGAUAGGAGCUCCUGCUGCAUGGUGGGGGGUGGAAAGUUUCGGCGGUUGGGGAUGGACUCGCGGCUUUUCAGCUUGUUGGUGGGGUAGUGGCUUACCAAGGCUUUGACGGGUAGCCGGCCUGAGAGGGUGACCGGACACAUUGGGACUGAGCUACGGCCCAGACUCCUACGGGAGGCAGCAGUGGGGAAUAUUGCACAAUGGGCGGAAGCCUGAUGCAGCAACGCCGCGUGCGGGAUGACGGCCUUCGGGUUGUAAACCGCUUUCGCCUGUGACGAAGCGUGAGUGACGGUAAUGGGUAAAGAAGCACCGGCUAACUACGUG